RNAcentral lists this long non-coding RNA (564 nucleotides) under Marmota monax (woodchuck). The record is from RNAcentral. Lineage: Eukaryota; Metazoa; Chordata; Mammalia; Rodentia; Sciuridae.
CCAUUGUUUUGUGCUGAUUUGUUAGCAGUUUUACUCUCAUUGCUUUAGCACGAACAGUGUGAAAAUCAGUGAAGGAGGCAAAUAACAUCUUAAUAUUGUAAAAAUAUUUUUUACCUCAAGGAUUGCCUCCCACAGGGAUCAGGGGACUCUUCAGUCUGUUUACCAGGCUUUGAGAACUGAUGCCUUAGAUCCUUACAACCUCAUGAAAUAAGAAUACUGUCACUCAAACACACUCAGAGAUAAAAUCAUUUGCCCAGAAUCUCAGAGUUGGUGAAUGGUGGGGCUGGGCUGAGCUGAUUUGAAGCCUGUGUCCUCAUGCAUACCCCUCUGCAUUCUACCCCUGGUACUUCCUUGAACAGGUCAGAUUAUUUUGCCUCUCUCUGUCUGCAUAUGUACCUGUUUGAAAUGUUUUGUCCUUUCUCUGCAUAGCUUGAUAUUCAUCUGAAAUCAUUUUCUCCCAAGGCAGAGUUAAUUAUUUCCUCUUCUGUGUGCUCAUGCAUUUUGCUGAUAGUUUUAUUUUGGUACUAAGCUUGUUGUUUUCAUUUUUCAUAUGUUCAUUUUUUU